This 254-nucleotide ribosomal RNA is filed under the name uncultured bacterium. RNAcentral's name for it is "partial 16S ribosomal RNA". It matches the Rfam family "Bacterial small subunit ribosomal RNA", at positions 524 to 776 of the family's 1533-position model. The record is from RNAcentral.
UACGUAGGGUCCGAGCGUUGUCCGGAUUCAUUGGGCGUAAAGAGCUCGUAGGCGGUUUCGUAAGUCGGAUGUGAAAACUCAGGGCUCAACCCGGAGACGCCAUCCGAUACUGCGAUGACUGGAGUCUGGUAGGGGAACACGGAAUACCUGGUGUAGCGGUGAAAUGCGCAGAUAUCAGGUGGAACACCGAUGGCGAAGGCAGUGUUCUGGGCCAGUACUGACGCUGAGGGGCGAAAGCGUGGGGAGCAAACAGG